RNAcentral lists this unclassified non-coding RNA (386 nucleotides) under uncultured bacterium. RNAcentral describes it as "contains 16S-23S intergenic spacer region". The record is from RNAcentral.
UCCGGUUUGGCACCGGCAGUCCCCCGCGAGUCCUCAGCGCCUUGCGGCCUGUUAGCAACACGGGGCGGGGGUUGCGCUCGUUGCGGGACUUAACCCAACAUCUCACGACACGAGCUGACGACAGCCAUGCAGCACCUGUGUUACGGCUCCCUUUCGGGCACGCCCACAUCUCUGCGGGCUUCCGUACAAGUCAAGGGUAGGUAAGGUUCUUCGCGUUGCAUCGAAUUAAUCCGCAUGCUCCACCGCUUGUGCGGGCCCCCGUCAAUUCCUUUGAGUUUCAGCCUUGCGGCCGUACUCCCCAGGCGGGGCACUUAACGCGUUAGCUGCGGCACCGAAGGGGUCGUUCCCCCCGGCACCUAGUGCCCAUCGUUUACGGCGUGGACUAC